This 562-nucleotide long non-coding RNA is filed under the name Lepidothrix coronata (blue-crowned manakin). RNAcentral describes it as "lncRNA (ENSLCOG00000008989.1)". Lineage: Eukaryota; Metazoa; Chordata; Aves; Passeriformes; Pipridae. The record is from RNAcentral.
UCCCCCCCCCCCUCCUUUUGAGCCAUUGUGCUUAACUGAAUUUUAUAAAGCUGAUCGAUAUCUUGGUAAAAUAUUCAUUUUUAAACUAGCGGGCAGCGAAAUCUUUGCUUUGUGCUAAAGUCAACAGUCGCAGAGUUUCAGCUCCAAUAAAUGCCGGGAUGCUCCCAGCUCCCGCAGAGCCGGGCCGGCGGCCGGGGCGCAGAAAUAGUCCUAAUCCUAUAUUUCGGCCGGAGAAAGUCCGCUUCGGCUCCGCACUAGACUAAUCCAGAAACCACAUAAAACCAGGAGCUGUAGUCUGUGGAACACCCCGAAAAUCCUGGGAUCGGCUCCAGAUAACGGGGACAGGUGUUUUUGCCCCCCCCGCCCUCGCCGCGCACCUGAGCGGCAGGGACAGCGGGAGGGACGGAAUCCACCCGGGAAACGGGAAUGUGAGGACGGGAAAAGCUGCCUCGAGCCCGGGAUGGUGGGUUUUUUGGGGAGGGAGUGUGAGUUGGAUGGAGGGCUGGAUGAAGGGAUGCAGGUAGGGAUGCAGCGUGCAGGGAGUGAUGGGGAGAUGGAUGCA